GUUGUCGUGGCCGAGUGGUUAAGGCGAUGGAUUUGAAGUCCAUUGGGGGCUACCCGCACAGGUUCAAAUCCUGCCGACAAUG
This 82-nucleotide transfer RNA is filed under the name Danionella translucida. It matches the Rfam family "tRNA". From Rfam's summary of the family: Transfer RNA (tRNA) molecules are approximately 80 nucleotides in length. RNAcentral also lists the same sequence under 1 other name. Lineage: Eukaryota; Metazoa; Chordata; Actinopteri; Cypriniformes; Danionidae. The record is from Rfam by way of RNAcentral.